This 748-nucleotide ribosomal RNA is filed under the name uncultured Glomeromycotina. Its description in RNAcentral is "SSU rRNA". It matches the Rfam family "Eukaryotic small subunit ribosomal RNA", at positions 338 to 1092 of the family's 1831-position model. Lineage: Eukaryota; Fungi; Glomeromycota. The record is from RNAcentral.
GGCCUACCAUGGUGGUAACGGGUAACGGGGUGUUAGGGCACGACACCGGAGAGGGAGCCUGAGAAACGGCUACCACAUCCAAGGAUGGCAGCAGGCGCGCAAAUUACCCAAUCCCGACACGGGGAGGUAGUGACAAUAAAUAACAGUACAGGGUUCUUUUGGAUCUUGUAAUUGGAAUGAGUACAAUUUAAAUCUCUUAACGAGGAACAAUUGGAGGGCAAGUCUGGUGCCAGCAGCCGCGGUAAUUCCAGCUCCAAUAGCGUAUAUUAAAGUUGUUGCAGUUAAAAAGCUCGUAGUUGAAUUUCGGGAUCAAUAUGCUGGUCGUGCCUUGGUACGUACUAGUUUAUUGGUUUCUCUCUUCUGACGAACCAUGAUGUCAUUAAUUUGAUGUCAUGUGGAAUCAGAACUGUUACUUUGAAAAAAUUAGAGUGUUUAAAGCAGGCUCACGCUUGAAUACAUUAGCAUGGAAUAAUGAAAUAGGACGUUUGAUUCUAUUUUGUUGGUUUCUAGGAUUGACGUAAUGAUUAAUAGGGAUAGUUGGGGGCAUUAGUAUUCAAUUGUCAGAGGUGAAAUUCUUGGAUUUAUUGAAGACUAACUACUGCGAAAGCAUUUGCCAAGGAUGUUUUCAUUAAUCAAGAACGAAAGUUAGGGGAUCGAAGACGAUCAGAUACCGUCGUAGUCUUAACCAUAAACUAUGCCGACUAGGGAUCGGAUGAUGUUAAUUUAAUGACUCAUUCGGCGCCUUACG